ACAUAGAUCAGUGGCUAAGAGAGCGAGCGCGCGGGGGUGCUAGGUCAACACACGACGGGAUUCUGCUGCGCCUGGCAGAAAAUGUAAAUAUGAUUCUUCAGAAAUACGAUAUCUGAAGAAUCGAACCAUUCAGCUUUUUACUCGUGCCUUUUCAAUUAUUUUUGGCGUUUUUGGUGCUGAAUAUUAUAUUUAUAUGUGCUUAUGGGUGACCUGGAACAAUCGCUGAAGGAAUUAUCAAGAAAUGAGUGUUAGAGGUGAGUGUUUGUAUUGGGCCAUUCCAUUUAAUAUGUGCACCCCCCCUAUUGAGGGGUCCUUAAAAGUUUUACCCCCUUAGGAAAUUGAACAUCAAAGUGCCGACACAUUCCCCCCCUUGGAAAUUGGCCUAUGUUGUUCGAAGAUCAAAGGGACCGACUGAUUUACCCCCUCGGAAAUUACCAAUAUUAACCCCUCCCUCCCCAUAGGAUUUCCAGACCCCUCAAUAGGGGGGGGGGUGCACAUAUUAAAUGGA
Paramuricea clavata is the source of this 508-nucleotide non-coding RNA. The record is from the annotation of a GenBank genome assembly. NCBI's taxonomy places the organism in Eukaryota, Metazoa, Cnidaria, Anthozoa, Malacalcyonacea, Plexauridae.